This 332-nucleotide ribosomal RNA is filed under the name uncultured Gemmatimonas sp. Its description in RNAcentral is "bacterial SSU rRNA". It matches the Rfam family "Bacterial small subunit ribosomal RNA", at positions 568 to 898 of the family's 1533-position model. The record is from RNAcentral. Lineage: Bacteria; Pseudomonadati; Gemmatimonadota; Gemmatimonadia; Gemmatimonadales; Gemmatimonadaceae.
CGCGUAGGCGGCUUGAUAAGUAGGGGGUGAAAUCUUGCGGCUCAACUGCAAGGCUGCCUCCUAAACUGUCAGGCUUGAGCACAGUAGAGGCAGGUGGAAUUCCCGGUGUAGCGGUGGAAUGCGUAGAGAUCGGGAAGAACAUCGGUGGCGAAGGCGGCCUGCUGGGCUGUUGCUGACGCUGAGGCGCGACAGCGUGGGGAGCAAACAGGAUUAGAUACCCUGGUAGUCCACGCCGUAAACGAUGGGUACUAGGCGUCGGGGGGAGCGACCCCUUCGGUGCCGUCGCUAACGCAGUAAGUACCCCGCCUGGGGAGUACGGCCGCAAGGCUGAA